Molecule: unclassified non-coding RNA, 349 nt
Filed under: fungal sp.
Lineage: Eukaryota; Fungi
Description: partial internal transcribed spacer region
Rfam family: Eukaryotic small subunit ribosomal RNA (bases 1-46)
Source: RNAcentral
AAGUCGUAACAAGGUUUCCGUAGGUGAACCUGCGGAAGGAUCAUUAUCACGUAUCCAAACGUAUAAACCAAUGUGCACCUCUAACAUUCCUCCUUUUGGGUUUCAUGAAGUGGCAGAGAAGUUGAUAUUCUGAUUCAUGGUCUUUCAGAAUUCUCUGUCUUGAUUACUUCACAGUAGUCAGCCUUCUAAUCCGGGAGUCGUAUCAAACCAUGCUUGUUUUACUAACAACUUGUACCUUUCUGAACUAACUUUUGGUUUCGUACGAACAAAACACGCAAGUGCUUUGUUUUGACAGACCUUGAUUUAUAUAAACUCUGAACUACUCUUAACAACGGAUAUCUUGGUUCUC